CGGGUAGAGUAACACGUGGGAACACGCCUUCGAGUGGGGAAUAACGCUGAGAAAUCAGUGCUAAUACCGCAUAUGGUCUAACGACUAAAGCAGCAAUGCGCUCGGAGAGUGGCCCGCGUCCGAUUAGCUAGUUGGUGGGGUAAUGGCCUACCAAGGCGGUGAUCGGUAGCUGGUCUGAGAGGAUGGUCAGCCACACUGGGACUGCGAACGGCCCAG
Molecule: ribosomal RNA, 216 nt
Filed under: uncultured bacterium
Lineage: Bacteria
Description: partial 16S ribosomal RNA
Rfam family: Bacterial small subunit ribosomal RNA
Source: RNAcentral